RNAcentral lists this transfer RNA (75 nucleotides) under Candidatus Rifleibacteriota bacterium. RNAcentral describes it as "tRNA-Val". It matches the Rfam family "tRNA". Rfam says of the family: Transfer RNA (tRNA) molecules are approximately 80 nucleotides in length. Their secondary structure includes four short double-helical elements and three loops (D, anti-codon, and T loops). The record is from RNAcentral. Lineage: Bacteria; Candidatus Rifleibacteriota.
GGGCGCUUAGAUCAGAGGGAGAUCGCUUCCUUGACACGGAAGAGGUCACAGGUUCAAGUCCUGUAGCGCCCACCA